UACCUCGAUCAGCCUGUCGCUGUUGAUGGCUCUUACGUCACCAAUCUCCCAUCAGAAACUCAUCGGGCUCAAAGAAGCCAAGAUUUCUCCCGCUGUAGGGCAGGAGUAUAUCGCUGGGCAAAAAUGCUACGGUUUUCCGAGAUUAUUGCGUGUUAACAACAGUUAUAUCUCUGUCUCCGUGCAAGGCGACGGUACAAUGAUUAUUAGCUUGUCAUAUUCAAAUAAACAUGCGUUAGAAAGAGAUUUCUGCGUAUUUUCGAACAGUUGACCUCUUUUCAACUUUUAUAAAACUGGUUUUAUAAAAGUAAUAUUUAUUCCUAUUGAUUUAUCUGAUUCUUAUUAUUACUGCCGUGAAAAUCACAUUCAUGUCCUAGCUCUCAUUUUAACUGUUCUUCCACUUUUCUUUAACAGUUUCUUCGACUGAGAUUCACUUGCAUUCACCGCAAUGCUUUUGCUGUUUUGUCGUGGUAUUUAUAUCAUUGUGCAUUAUUAGCUAAGAUACUUACAAAUCAGUGAUUUUUUUAAUUUUCUUUCUUUUUUGUUUGUAGCAGUACUUGCGGCAUUGUCCUCCAGAAUUAUUAAUGUUUGCUAUUCAGCAUAGUGAUGAAGUUCCCUUCAAAGUGUUGUUAGUGUGCACUUAAAAGGGAUUUAACGCUUUAUAUUACGGUGCCUGUGCUAAACAUAUAUUAAUAUACGUGAUUAUAUAAGUGUCUAUAUUAAUAUAAGUGAUUACAAGCAACAAAAAUAACAAUGUGUAUUUACAAGUUAAUAAAGGCGCAACUAAAUCCACUAAAUAAUUAGUACAUAUUAGAUAUAUGUUGUUCAUAGGUAUCAGUAAUUUCACUGUAACAUUAACACUGUAAUGUAAAGUGUAAACAAAAAAUAUAAUCUAGCAGAAAAAAAUAUCCAUGCUGAUCAUGCUGGGUUUCUCCAAACCCAGACUAGAGUGUGUCUUGGCAUGGUGAAUUACCCAGCUGUGCUCAUUCUAUGCUAAUGAACUGAAAUAAUUUUAGAUGAAUAGAUAUACAAACAGUUACAGUGUUUUCAAUUGAUGUGUUAGAGAAAUGCAUCUUACCCAGUGAAAAAUAAGUAAAACUAUUUAUUUACGCACUUUGUAUUUUAUUAACGUGCCAGAACACAUCAUUGGCAAGGCAAAUUUUGGUAGUAAACAUUAGUUAGUGUUGACAGGUCGGCGUAUGCUUGUGUGUAUGGGUGUGUGUUUUAUGCAUGUUAUUGUGCGUUUUAGGAAUAGUUAUUUAUAUUUAAUGUAUAAAUGUUUGUGUGUACCUAUCAUCCUAUUCAGUGUAGGACAUCUUAUUCUUUCGUAAAAGGCCAUGCUUGAAGGUAUGCCACGCAAGCACGAGCGUAAAGCUCAAGAUGCAAUGCCAACGCACUUUGAACGGUUCGUGUGGAGUCUGAACUGUGCCAUUUUCAGUCCUGGUUAAAGCUCUUUCAAUAGAAGAAAUGUUCAUGUUUGCCUUUCCUACUCAAGUUCAGUGGUUCUCUUAUUAAAUAAAUGACUGAAGAUGAUUGGAAAAUAUGAGCUGUGUAAAAAAUAUAAUAAUAGUGUCCUUGAAUGUAUGUCCUCACCCACUACAUGCAGUGAUAAGAAAAAUAUAUUUACAUUUUUAGUUUAUUAACUUAAUGUAUUUUAAGAGAGCAGCAUCAGACUGAGUGAUUAUAGAUUUUAUGCCUUUUAUGGUGUUUUAAACUGAUUCUCUAUCACUGCUUUUAUGUGUUGAUACUUUAUAGUAACUGAAGCAAAUGGAUUUGGUUCAUCUCUCUUAUAUGUUAUGAAAAAUAACCUCAGAUUUAUCCGCAUUUUUAGUCUAAUCUGCUAUUUACUGUAGUUGUUACGAUAGCCCUAUUUGCAUUAAAAUGCCUGGACAUGCUAUAAUGCACAUUAUAUGUUGUAGAAAUUCCUCAUGUCUCAAUAUUACGCUGUCUGCUUAAGGGAUCGCAGACGGAUGGUACAAGACUGGAACUGAAAAACCGAGGGAGAUUCGAGGUGAUGUUGCCGUUCUUCAAAAAGGACAAUCUUGCAAUCCACAGGUCAGAGGUCAGCAACACUCGCAUUUAGAAUAAAUGAAUGUUUCUGUCCAUUUUUUUAAAUAAUUAAAUUUUUUUGUAAAACUGUACACUGUUUACAAUUGCACAUGAAGCCAUCCAGCGAUGAUCGCUUGGGUAUUAACGUCAGUACUGCUAAAAAUAAUAACUCUGCACUUAAACACGGCAACUUAAAUAGUGGUAAUAAUACUCCAGAACGGCUCUGUGGCGUAACCUUACGUCUGUGAUCAUGAUCACAGCCAUUUUACAUGCCAACACCACUGCAAUUAUGUUUAUUAAAACUAAUGUUGCUACAUCUCUACAAUCACCUUUAUGUUUUGAAAUAUAUACAGUAUUACAAUUACAGUUCUGGAUCGUUGGAACAGCCAACGAUUCUUAUGCUUUUGUGGUACUGCUAAUUAUUAUUUAUUUUUUACAUUUUAAUAUAUUACGCCAGUACAUAUAUGUGUGUUUUUCACUGUUUAAGUAAUAACUGUUUAUUAAGCUAAUUCUUAUUCUAUUGUUUGAAAUAAAAUAGAAACAAUUUGCUGAUUCAUUUAUUUGCUGUUCUUAUAUAAUCAUGCAAAUAAAGGACAAUGGACAAAG
This is a long non-coding RNA of Megalobrama amblycephala (Wuchang bream), 2652 nucleotides long. RefSeq lists it as uncharacterized. The transcript has 2 exons. Lineage: Eukaryota; Metazoa; Chordata; Actinopteri; Cypriniformes; Xenocyprididae. The record is from RefSeq and is a predicted model, not a curated record.